AACGAACGCUGGCGGCGCGCUUAACACAUGCAAGUCGAACGAGAAGGCGUAGCAAUACGCUUGUACAGUGGCGAACGGGUGAGUAAUACGUGGGCGACCUACCCUCGAGUGGGGAAUAACCCGCCGAAAGGCGGGCUAAUGCCGCGUACGCUUCCAUCUUUAUGGAGGUGGAAGGAAAGCCGUGCCGUGGGCACGGCGCUCAAGGAUGGGCUCACGUCCUAUCAGCUUGUUGGA
RNAcentral lists this ribosomal RNA (234 nucleotides) under uncultured bacterium. RNAcentral describes it as "partial 16S ribosomal RNA". It matches the Rfam family "Bacterial small subunit ribosomal RNA", at positions 29 to 253 of the family's 1533-position model. The record is from RNAcentral.